AUGAUUUUCAUUCAAAAUCACUUCUUAGAUGCAUUAUUCCAAAUUAUAAGUUAUUAUUUAACAAAGCUCGAGGCCAAACAGCAAUUUAUAAAAACUCAGAGAUUCUAUUACAGAGUAUUGUUUAUCUAAUAAUUUGAUACCAAAAAGUAAAAAUAUCUUAGGUUAGCGGAAGAAAUUAUGCAUUAUGUAAAAAUUUUUAAGAAAUUGAGUGGCUUAUUCAUAAUGAAUCACCCUACACAAAACUGAAGAAACUCAAGUAAUCAAUAAAUUGCAAAAUAUUAAUAAAAUUAAAGAUAUCAAAACUGUGUUUUCUAACGGGACAUAUUCGGAAAGACGGAGUUUUUGGAGUUUUUUUUUGGGCGGAGUCUUAGCAAAACGGUGUUUAGUUUUCCAAUAAUAAACUCUCACUGUACAGAAUUUUUAACAAUACAUACAAAAAUCACAAAUCGUAUUGUUAUAAAAUAAAAAAAAUGAAGCAAUGGUAGAUUUUAUCAUACAUUAAAAGAGGUGUGAAUAUUGUAAUAAAAUAGAAAGAAGUAUGGCUGGGUAGGUGUUAUGAUUUGAAAAUAUGUAAAUACUGGGACUGUAAAUAAAAUAAAUCUAAUUAGACUUUGAAGUGGAUAAUAAUACAUUUAAAUACAGGAGUUUAAAAAAUAUAAGAAAUAAACAAAACAUAAAAUAUGGCCAGAUGAUAAAGAGAAUAUACUAAAGCGAAGGUGUACAUGCAUAGCAAAUAAAGUUUCUAAAGCUAUACUAUUCAAAAUUUUACGGCUAUUGAUUUUUUUUAUCAGCUAUACUUUAUGAAAGAAAUAAUGUGGGUUUACUUAAAAUGCGACUGUCUGAUUGUUGGAUUCAAGCUUUAUUAACAGAAUUAAUGAUAUUUAUACAAUUGGUAAACACAAAUGAAACAUUCACAUUGCACGUAUUUGAUUGUAAAGAGGAUGACAACCAAAUAAUGUUUUAACGAUAAUAUUUUUGAAUUAGUCUAGUUGCAAUGUAAUUUUAUUAAUCUCGAAAAGAAUAUACUAGUUGAUUUGAAAUCAGUCCUUAAUAUUUUAUUAUGAAUUGCUUAGAAAUAUAAUUUCUUGCCUUGUUUUUUAGCUAGCUUAAUCGUUUUUAUAAAUAUAUAUGCCAAAAUAAAAGAACUGACAUUAAUCUAUUUAGUUACUUCAUACUUUUGUAAGAAUGGUUAAACUUGAA
Molecule: long non-coding RNA, 1200 nt
Organism: Daktulosphaira vitifoliae (grape phylloxera)
Lineage: Eukaryota; Metazoa; Arthropoda; Insecta; Hemiptera; Phylloxeridae
Exons: 4
Source: RefSeq, a predicted model, not a curated record